ACUUAUUCACUGUUUAUAAUUAUAAUGGAUUUCAUAUGAGAAGAGAGUUACAUUAUGGGUGAUGGAAUCUAUAUAUUGCAGUAGUACGUCAUAGUAUGUUACUAUUGUUGUUUAUGUAGGAGUAUAAGCAUAUAAAGUGAAUUUGCUUCUAUGUUUUGAAGGCUUCAUUGCAUUUCUAAAUAUUCGGCGAUGUUUACCUGGGGUUUUGUACGUUAGAUAUAUUAUAUCUCUCUAUGUAAUAUCCCCAAUCUAAAGGGUUUUCUGCAUAUUGUCACCUGUAUACGUGUAUAUAUAUAUUGUCCUAGGGCCUCCAGAGAAUACAAGUUGCUAUUCCUAACAUGGUAUUAGAGCUAGGUUUUCCCUAGAGGCGUAGCAACUUGUCCCAAUAUAGAUUUACUGCUCACCUGUUACAGUAAUUCACCUUCCGCCCAGUGCUGCUCUGACUUUGCCCGGCGCGCUCCGCCAGUCCGCCGUGCUUUGUCGCCCAAUCUUGUCGUCUCGAUCUAGCUGGCCCUGCCGCCCUAACCGCACUGUCGGGUCCCCGACCCAGCUCGCUGGCGUCUUCGCCUUCGUCGCUGGCUAUAUGUCGGCACCUCCGCCUACCUCACUGGCUGCCCGAACUGCUAACUGCCCGCUCGCUGGUUGGUUCCCUCCGCCUGCUACAUAUAGGCGAGUCUGCGGGUGCUCUGUUCUUCACAGAACAGUCUCGUAGAUAGUAGAUACAAAGAAAGCAAAAAAGAAAAAAAAAUUGCAGCACCUCACCGCUUUCUUUGUGCUCUCGUCAUUGCUUACCGUUUUUCUUUGCGCUCUCGCCGUCAUUCGUUGCUACUUGUUGUUGCUCGUCGCUCUCUUUUGCGCUCUCGCCGUCGUUUGUCCUUCUUCAGGAUGUCAUCGAGCAUCGUUUUAGUUCCUCGGUGCUCGGUGAUCUUUGAUUGUGCCACCAAACGGGACUUAGCGCAACAUAUGUGUGUUCACAUGCGCGGCCUUUGUCUUUGGGGUGUUCUCUAUGGCAACGUUCUUUGCCCCUUUUCCCUGGAGCUUCUGAUGGAGCUCGUACAGUCGACUGUUGACAAAGGAGACAAAUCAACUAUUGAGAUCGUCACAACUAUUUAUGAGAAGGAUGACUCCGCCUAUCAGGAAGCUUUGGAGUUGUACCGUGAUUAGUUGUCUAACUGUGCUCAGUGGAUGGAUGAUGAUGCUCGUGUCGCGUCUAUUCUGAUUGCUAGUGUGAAGCAUAUGUUUUCUUCUAAGAUUGUUGAGUUCCCUUUCAGAUGUGGACUCAUUUUCAUGAAACCUAUGAGCCAUUUGGGGAUGUUCUCUAUCUGUCUGUUGUUCGCCAAGAGCAGUCUCUUUAGCAAGGUGAUGCCACAGUUGAUGCGUUCAAUGCUCAAAUGUUGGAUGUGUGACGUUAGUUGGACUCUCUUUCUGUUGUUGGUUGCCACUCUUGUCAGUGCUACUUGGAUUUGUGUGUUAAACGUGACUUUCGACGCCUCUACGAGUUCCUGACUUGCACGACGCUUUUGUCCGGAGUUUGAGCAGCGUCGGGCUCAGCUACUUGCACGACAUCCUCGUGUCACGUUUGUGGAGGCUCUUACAAGGUUGUGCUCAGAGGAGACUCGUCUGUGUGGUUCUGGACUACUGCCAUUUCCUUCGGUGUUGGCUGCUCGUUCACCUGCUGCGCCUACGUCUUCGACUACACCGUUGUCUGCUCCUUGUACGACUCCUUCGCCACAUGUGGCCUCUUCAGGUGGUGGUGGUCACUCUCACAGGAGGGCAAUGUUUGAGGCGAACUGCCGUCGGAAGAAAAAGCAUCUUUGAUGUUCCUCUGGUGCUUCUACCUCGACUACCUCUUUGACUGACACUUAGCAGGAGAUUGUGAUGCUGCUUCGUCACCUGGUUGUUACCUCUGGCUCUGCACCAAUAGGUUUUGCUACUCUCUCUUCUGUCAUAGAGAGACCACCUUCUACGCAGUCAGGAUCGUCGCACGGGUGCUCUAGUUGGUACUAGCCCUUGGCACUAUGAUUCUCAACGUCUAUGGGAGCUUGACUGGUUUCGUCUUCCUUUCACUGCUGCAGCCGGUCUCUCUGCUUCCUCGACUACUGGCUCUUUCUAGUAGUGGCAUCAUUGUUUAGGUCAUGCUUGUGGGUUGCGUCUGUCUUUAUUAGUUUGUCGUGAUCUUUUAGGGUCUGUCUUAGAAGAUUUGUCCUUAGAUUGUCAGCGUUGUAAGUUUGGUAAACAGUUUCAACUUUCUUAUUCUUAUUCUUAUAGUGGGUUAGUGUCUCAACGCCCUUUUGUUAUUGUUCACUUCGAUGUAUGUGGUUCAGCUCUCUUCGUUUCGAAAGGGGGUCAUAGCUACUAUAUUAUCUUUAUAUAUGAUUUCAUUCGUCACAUUUGGAUUUA
Molecule: long non-coding RNA, 2400 nt
Organism: Phragmites australis (common reed)
Lineage: Eukaryota; Viridiplantae; Streptophyta; Magnoliopsida; Poales; Poaceae
Exons: 2
Source: RefSeq, a predicted model, not a curated record